AGCCAUUUUGGCUCAAG
Molecule: non-coding RNA, 17 nt
Filed under: Pfiesteria piscicida
Lineage: Eukaryota; Dinophyceae; Peridiniales; Pfiesteriaceae
Also listed under: 5 other names
Source: RNAcentral